This 998-nucleotide long non-coding RNA is filed under the name Setaria viridis. RNAcentral's name for it is "long non-coding RNA (SVIR_LNC008224)". The record is from RNAcentral. Lineage: Eukaryota; Viridiplantae; Streptophyta; Magnoliopsida; Poales; Poaceae.
UACAAGUAUGGUGGGAGAGGUGUCAAACUUUUGACAUGCUUUCACAGGAGAGUGAUUUUGGCUCAUCUGUGCUGGCAAGGCUGAGGCGCGCUCAUGUGGGUAAGGUGGGGCAAGAAAGCAUAGGAUUUGUACUAGGUUGUACUAUAGAGUUUUCAGAGUAUGCGGGACCAUUGCUCCAAUGUGGCUGAAAAAAUUACCUACAUUAAAUUUACACACGCAUACUAACUACUACAUAAUCAAUACCCUAGUAUAUGUACACUAUAUAAGUGCAGUCAUGCCCAAUACUUUAUUCUACCACUCUCGCGCUAGUUGGUUUUCGUGAAAACCAGGCGCGAAACUUAUAAGGUAGCAUGAUGCCUUUGUAGGAUCGAGAGUAGGAUUAGGAGGUGCAAGGAAAGAAAAAAAAUACUGCACUUUCUGAUGCGGGGUGGAAAAUAAUAGAAUGACGCUGGUGAGGACCAGAUUAUCCCAACCGUUCCCUGCCUGUUGCUACACGUUGCUAGAGCACAGCAACAACUAUUACAGUGUUGCGAGGCACUUUUUAUUAUAGUGCACAUAGAUGUUUCCUUGUAAGCACAUGCUCAGCUAGAUAGUUUGUGCUGAUUCUUCCGUCCUGCCAAAAAUGAAACCGCUGUACAAUGCAAGGAACUCCUGGUCAACCUGAUAAAUUUCACGCAAGCAACACCACAUGGAAGUGGAUCAUAGAUCCAACAUUCAUCAUCAUCUACCGGUAUAUCUUCUGUUUUCUACAUGCAUGUGUUGCAGAUAAACUUCAACCACAUGCACCGACAUGGUUAACGUGCAUAUCAAACACCCUAACACGUGAUGAAUCGGACCUUGUCUAGUACAACGGUCUUAGUAGUUGUCACUUAGAAGAAUGUAAGCAUCCAACUCAUCAGUCAGCCUGAGCUCCAAAUUAAUCUCCAAUACAUUAGUACCGGUGGUGUUACCAACAGGUACCAAAUAAGUUCUUCCAAGCUAUUUACACUUCUUGCUCC